This 459-nucleotide ribosomal RNA is filed under the name uncultured bacterium. RNAcentral's name for it is "bacterial SSU rRNA". It matches the Rfam family "Bacterial small subunit ribosomal RNA", at positions 28 to 507 of the family's 1533-position model. The record is from RNAcentral.
GACGAACGCUGGCGGCGCGCCUAACACAUGCAAGUCGAACGGAGUUUCCCCUUCGGGGGGAGCUUAGUGGCGGACGGGUGAGUAACACGUGAGGAACCUGCCUUUGAGAGCGGGAUACCGUCUGGAAACGGACGUUAAUACCGCAUAAUGCAGCGAGGCCACAUGGCCAUGCUGCCAAAGAUUUAUCGCUCAAAGAUGGCCUCGCGCCUGAUUAGAUAGUUGGCGGGUAACGGCCACCAAGUCUGCGAUCAGUAGCCGGACUGAGAGGUCGAACGGCCACAUUGGGACUGAGAUACGGCCCAGACUCCUACGGGAGGCAGCAGUGGGGGAUAUUGCACAAUGGGCGAAAGCCUGAUGCAGCGACGCCGCGUGAGGGAAGACGGUUUUCGGAUUGUAAACCUCUGUCUUCGGGGACGAAACAAGACGGUACCCGAGGAGGAAGCCACGGCUAACUACGUG